UUGACCCUAGAAUGAAGUGGGAGGUAUUGAUAUAUUAUGUUGGGUAUAUUCGAUGACAUUGGAAUGCUAAACCUAUAUGGAUAAAGGACAUGAUAACUUUGCUGAUUUUGAUGUUAAUUUUUUUUACAAAGAAAAGUUGGUUUGGAAGUUGUCUAAAUGAUUGUAAGGUAAAUCGAAGGUUAACUCAAAUUAAUUCUAGAUAUAUUGAAUUCUUGAGGAGUGGUGAAGCUUAUGUAAUAAGUUCAAACAUAGAAGGUGGAUGAAGAUUUAAUUUUGAUGUGCUAUGCCUAAGAGAUAGUAAU
RNAcentral lists this long non-coding RNA (302 nucleotides) under Elaeis guineensis (African oil palm). RNAcentral's name for it is "long non-coding RNA (EGUI_LNC078268)". Lineage: Eukaryota; Viridiplantae; Streptophyta; Magnoliopsida; Arecales; Arecaceae. The record is from RNAcentral.